RNAcentral lists this unclassified non-coding RNA (401 nucleotides) under soil metagenome. RNAcentral's name for it is "partial contains 5.8S ribosomal RNA, internal transcribed spacer 2, and large subunit ribosomal RNA". The stretch from base 1 to 121 matches the Rfam family "5.8S ribosomal RNA", at positions 35 to 154 of the family's 154-position model. The record is from RNAcentral.
GAUGAAGAACGCAGCGAAAUGCGAUAAGUAGUGUGAAUUGCAGAAUUCAGUGAAUCAUCGAAUCUUUGAACGCACCUUGCGCCCUUUGGCUAUUCUGAAGGGCAUGCCUGUUUGAGUAUCAUGAACACCUCAACUCUCAUGGUCCGCCAUGAUGAGCUUGGACUUUGGGGGUCUUGCCGGCCGAUCGCCGGCUCCUCUCAAAUGAAUCAGCUUGCCAGUGUUUGGUGGCAUCACGGGUGUGAUAACUAUCUACGCUUGUGGUUUCCCACCAGGUAACCUCCAGUGAUGGGGGUUCGCUGAAGCUCACAAACGUCUCUCCUCUGCGGAGACAGCUUUUCGACGUUUGAUCUCAAAUCAGGUAGGACUACCCGCUGAACUUAAGCAUAUCAAUAAGCGGAGGA